Molecule: transfer RNA, 69 nt
Filed under: Schistosoma turkestanicum
Lineage: Eukaryota; Metazoa; Platyhelminthes; Trematoda; Strigeidida; Schistosomatidae
Description: tRNA-Phe
Source: RNAcentral
UUUCUCUUAGCUUAAUUAAGAGUGUCAGUUUGAAGGUCUGGAGGUAUAUAAUUCAUUAUGUAGAGAAAG